AGAAGAUAGAGUCAGGCCCCCCUGCUGUUUUAAGGAGAGAAUUCAUUUGGAGCUGUUCAGAAUGCUUGAAAGAAGAGGAAUGAGCUAAUAUUAACAAGAUUCUUCUCUUCUGCAGUGGAAAUGAAGCUAGACACCAUAGAUAACCACUUGGUAGAAACCACUGAGGCACUCUAAAUUGGGAGGCUUUACUGGCAAUAACAGCGUUCAUCAGGAAACUCAUUACGUCACCAUUCAACAAUGGAGGCCACAUUGGAAUGGAGUGCCCUGAAACAGCAAGAGGUCAGAAUCCAAGGUUCUGCUAAUAAUCUGCAGCUCCUACUGCCUUCAUCUGGAUUUUAUAGCACUCAAAGAUUUUGAAAAACAGGCUCCUGCUCAAAAGCAGC
RNAcentral lists this long non-coding RNA (383 nucleotides) under Gallus gallus (chicken). RNAcentral describes it as "lncRNA (ENSGALG00010011665.1)". The record is from RNAcentral. Lineage: Eukaryota; Metazoa; Chordata; Aves; Galliformes; Phasianidae.